This 400-nucleotide ribosomal RNA is filed under the name Staphylococcus saprophyticus. RNAcentral describes it as "bacterial SSU rRNA". It matches the Rfam family "Bacterial small subunit ribosomal RNA", at positions 468 to 866 of the family's 1533-position model. The record is from RNAcentral. Lineage: Bacteria; Bacillati; Bacillota; Bacilli; Caryophanales; Staphylococcaceae.
CUUGACGGUACCUAAUCAGAAAGCCACGGCUAACUACGUGCCAGCAGCCGCGGUAAUACGUAGGUGGCAAGCGUUAUCCGGAAUUAUUGGGCGUAAAGCGCGCGUAGGCGGUUUCUUAAGUCUGAUGUGAAAGCCCACGGCUCAACCGUGGAGGGUCAUUGGAAACUGGGAAACUUGAGUGCAGAAGAGGAAAGUGGAAUUCCAUGUGUAGCGGUGAAAUGCGCAGAGAUAUGGAGGAACACCAGUGGCGAAGGCGACUUUCUGGUCUGUAACUGACGCUGAUGUGCGAAAGCGUGGGGAUCAAACAGGAUUAGAUACCCUGGUAGUCCACGCCGUAAACGAUGAGUGCUAAGUGUUAGGGGGUUUCCGCCCCUUAGUGCUGCAGCUAACGCAUUAAGCA